Molecule: long non-coding RNA, 4011 nt
Filed under: Nicotiana tabacum (common tobacco)
Lineage: Eukaryota; Viridiplantae; Streptophyta; Magnoliopsida; Solanales; Solanaceae
Description: long non-coding RNA (NTAB_LNC000707)
Source: RNAcentral
GAAUAUGUCAGUUGUAGAUUUCAAUGAGAAGACUGACAGUGAAAUUCCAUGCAAUACCAACAAUGAUGUUGCCGACUAUGUAUCAGUUGAGGCAAACCUUGAAGAACCGGUAGUUGAAGAAAAACCUGAAGAAACAACGGUUGAGAAGAAACCUGAAGAACCAUCAAUUGAGGAGAAACGUGAAACACCAGCAUUUGAGAAGAAACCUGAAGAACCAAUAAUUGAGGAGAAACCUGAAGAACAAACAAUUGAAGAGGAGAAACAUGAAAGGAUAACUCUCCUGGAAAAGGUGAGGAUCAAGCAUUGUCACAAAGUUUAUCCAUCUUGUUAGUCGUGUAUACGAUACAAUUUACAUAUGCUUACCUACUGAAAGACUAAGUAAGACUUUAAAGUUCUUCUUGCAGAGUAUUCCAGUUGUAGUCCCGAACGACAAAACUGAAAGUAAAACUCCAAGCAUUACAAACAAUAAUGCUGCUCACUUUUCAGAAGUUGAGGAAAACCCUGAAGAACCUGCAGUAAAAGAAAAAACUGAAAAACCAGUUCUUGAAGAGAAACCUGAAGAACCAACAGUUGAAGAGAAAUCUGAAGAACCAGUUGAGGAGAAACCUGAAGAACCAACAGCUGAAGAGAAACCUGAAGAACCAGCAACUAAAGAAAAACAAGUGCUAGUAGGGGAGGAAACAGCUGAAGAACUAGCGCUUGAAGAGAAACCUGAAGAACUAACGAUUGAACAGACAGAUGAAGAACUAGUUGUUGAAGAUAAAACUGAAAAACCACCAAAUAAAGAGGAGAGACCUGAAACGGUAACUCUCCUUUAGCAGUGUCACAGAGUUUAUCCAUCCUAUUAGUUCUAUAUGUGCAACGAAUUCAUAUCUGUUUAUCUAUUGAAAUACUAAGUGAAAAUUCAAAUUUUCUUGCAGAAUUUGCCCAUUGCAGACUCAAAGGACCAGACUGACAAUGCAAUUCCAUGCGAUACCAACAAUGAUAUUGCUGACUAUGCAACAGUUGAGGAAAAACCUGAAGAAACAGUAGUUGAAGAAAAACAUGAAGAACCUGCAAUUGAAAAGAAAUUUGAAGAAUCAACAGUUAUGGAGAAACCUGAAGAACCAGCAGUGGAAGAAAAACCUGAAGAACCAACAGUUAAAGAGGAACCUGAAAAAUCAGUGAUGGAAGAGAAACCUGAAGAACCAAUUGUUGAGGAGAAACUUGAAGAACCAACUGUUGAAGAGAAACCUGAAAAAUCACUGAUUGAAGAAACACCUGAAGAACCAAUAUGGGAAGAAACACCUAAAGAACUAGCAUUUGAAGAGAAACCAGAAGAACCAGCAGUUGAAGAGGAGAAACCUGAAAAGGUAACUCUUUUGGAAGAGGUGAGUAUCAAGCAUUAGCACAUAGUUUAUCCAUCAUGUUAUUUCUGUAUGUGCAUCGAUUCACAUCUGCUUAUCUAUUGAAAGUCUAAAUGAGACUUUAAAUUCUUCUUGCAGAAUAUACCAGCUGUAGAUUUCAACGACAAGACUGACCGUGAAAUUCCAUGCGAUACCAACAAUGAUAUUGCUGACUAUGCAACAGUUGAGGAAAAACCUGAAGAACCGGUAGUUGAAGAAAAACAUGAAGAACCUGCAAUUGAAAAGAAAUUUGAAGAAUCAACGGUUAUGGAGAAACCUGAAAAACCAGUGGUUAAGGUACAACCUGAAGAACCAGCAGUGGAAGAAAAAGUUGAAGAACCAACAGUUAAUGAGGAACCUGAAAAAUCAGCGAUGGAAGAGAACCCUGAAGAAUCAAUUGUUGAGGAGAAACUUGAAGAACCAACUGUUGAAGAGAAACCUGAAAAAUCACUGAUUGAAGAAACACCUGAAGAACCAAUAUGGAAAGAAACACCUAAAGAACUAGCAUUUGAAGAGCAACCAGAAGAACCAGCAGUUGAAGAGGAGAAACCUGAAAAGGUAUCUCUUUUGGAAGAGGUGAGUAUCAAGCAUUAUCACAUAGUUUAUCCAUCCUGUUAUUUCUGUAUGUGCGACGAUUCACAUCUGCUUAUCUAUUGAAAGACUAAAUGAGACUUUAAAUUCUUCUUGCAGAAUAUGCCAGCUGUAGAUUUCAACGACAAGACUGACUGUGAAAUUCCAUGCAAUACCAACAAUGAUGUUGCUGAAUAUGUAGCAAUUGAGGAAAACCUUGAAGAACCAGCAGUUGAAGAAAAACAUGAAGAACCAACAGUUGAGGAGAAACCUGAAGAACUAGCAGUUGAAGAGAAACCCGAAAAACCAACAAUUGAGGAGAAACAUGAAGAACCAAUAGUUGAGAAGAAACCUGAAGAACCAGUAGUUGAGGAGAAACCAGAAGAACCACUAAUUGAAGAGGAGAAAUCUGAAAGGGUAACUUUCCUAGAAAAGGUGAGGAUCAAGCAUUGUCAAAAGGUUUAUCCAUCUUAUUAGUUGUGUAUGUGCGACGAUUCACAUCUGCUUACUUAUUGAAAGACUAAGUGAAACUUCAAAAUUCUUGCAGAGUAUGCUAGUUGUAGACUCGAACGACAAGACUGACAGUGAAAUUCCAUGCAAUACCAACAAAGAUGCUGCCCACUUUCCCGAAGUUGAGGCAAACCCUGAAGAACCAGCAGUUGAAGGAAAACCUAAAGAACCCGUUGAUGAAGAGAAACCAGAUGUACCAGUGGUUGAGAAACCUGAAAAACAAAUGGUUGAGGAGAAACUUGAAGAACCAAUGAUUGAGGAGAAAUCUGACGAACUAGUCGAGGAGAAAUCUCAACAACCAGCGGCUGAAAAGAAACCUGAAGAACCAGCAGCUAAAGAAUCACUUAAAGAGCUAGCAGGGGAGGAAACAACUGAAGAACUAGCACUUGAAGAGAAACUUAGAGAACCAACAGUUGAAGAACUAGUUCUUGAAGAUAAACCUGAAAACCCAGAAAAUGAAGAGGAUAAACUUGAAACAGUAACUCUCCAGGAAAAGGUAAGAAACAAGCAGUGUCACAGAGUUUAUCCAUCCUAUUAGCUCUACAUAUGCAAUGAAUUCACAUCUGUUUAUCCACUGAAAGACUAAGUGAAACUUUAAAUUUUUCUUGCAGAAUUUACCAAUUGCAGACUCAAACGACAAGACUGACAAUGCAACUCCCUGCAAUAACAACAAUGAUAUUGCUGACUCUGCAGCAGUUAAGGAAAAAACUGAAGAACCAGUAGUUGAGGAAAAACAUGAAGAACCGGCAACUGAAGAGAAAUCUGAAGAAUCAGAAUUUAUGAAAAAAACUGAAGAACCAGCGGUUGAGGUAAAACCUGAAGAACCAUCAGUGGAAGAGAAGCCUGAAGAACCAGCGGUUAGGAAAAAUCCUGAAGAACCAGCAGUUAAUGAGGAACCUGCAAAAUCAGCAACGGAAGAGAAACCUGAAGAACCAAUUGCUGAGGAGAAACUUGAAGAACCAACUCUUAAAGAGAAACCUGGAAAACCAGUAAUUGAAGAAACACCUGAAGAACCAACACUGGAAGUAACACCUAAAGAACAAGCAGAGAAACCUGAAGAACCAGUUGAAGAGGAAAAAACUGACAAGGUAACUCUUUUGGAAAAGGUGAGCAUCAAACACUGUCACAAAUUUUUGCCAUCAUAUUAGUUCUGUAUGUGCAACAAUUCACAUCUAAUUAUCCAUUGAAAGACUAAGUGAAACUUUAAUUCUUCUUGCAGAAUAUACCAGUUGUAGAUUUCAAUGAUACGACUGACAGUGAAAUUCCAUGCAAUACCAACGACGAUGUUGCUGAAGACGUAGCAGUUGAGGAAAACCUUGAAGAACCAUCAGUUGAGGAGAAACCUGAAGAAUUAGCGGUUGAAGAGAAACCUGAAAAACCAGCAAUUGAGGAGAAACGUGAAGAACCAAUAAUUGAGAAGAAACCUAAAGAACCAGCAGUUGAGGAGAAACCUGAAGAACAAACCGUUGAAGAGAGACUUGAAGAACCAACAAUUGAAGAUGAGAAACUUGAAGAACCAACAAAUGAAGAUGAGAAACUUGAAAGG